RNAcentral lists this ribosomal RNA (434 nucleotides) under uncultured Lachnospiraceae bacterium. RNAcentral's name for it is "partial 16S ribosomal RNA". It matches the Rfam family "Bacterial small subunit ribosomal RNA", at positions 341 to 792 of the family's 1533-position model. The record is from RNAcentral. Lineage: Bacteria; Bacillati; Bacillota; Clostridia; Lachnospirales; Lachnospiraceae.
ACGGAAGGCAGCAGUGGGGAAUAUUGGACAAUGGGGGAAACCCUGAUCCAGCGACGCCGCGUGAGUGAAGAAGUAUUUCGGUAUGUAAAGCUCUAUCAGCAAGGAAGAAAAUGACGGUACUUGACUAAGAAGCCCCGGCUAACUACGUGCCAGCAGCCGCGGUAAUACGUAGGGGGCAAGCGUUAUCCGGAUUUACUGGGUGUAAAGGGAGCGUAGACGGCAUAGCAAGUCUGAAGUGAAAUGCAUGGGCUCAACCUAUGAACUGCUUUGGAAACUGUUAAGCUAGAGUGCAGGAGAGGUAAGUGGAAUUCCUAGUGUAGCGGUGAAAUGCGUAGAUAUUAGGAGGAACACCAGUGGCGAAGGCGGCUUACUGGACUGUAACUGACGUUGAGGCUCGAAAGCGUGGGGAGCAAACAGGAUUAGAUACCCUGGUA